ACGCUCGACACCUACGGGGGGCAGCAGUGGGGAAUAUUGCACAAUGGGGGGAACCCUGAUGCAGCGACGCCGCGUGAGUGAAGAAGUACUUCGGUAUGUAAAGCUCUAUCAGCAGGGAAGAAAAUGACGGUACCUGACUAAGAAGCCCCGGCUAACUACGUCNCNNCNCGCGGUAGUACUGNGCGGCGNGNGAGAG
This 196-nucleotide ribosomal RNA is filed under the name uncultured bacterium. Its description in RNAcentral is "partial 16S ribosomal RNA". It matches the Rfam family "Bacterial small subunit ribosomal RNA", at positions 328 to 540 of the family's 1533-position model. The record is from RNAcentral.